Molecule: transfer RNA, 48 nt
Filed under: Anoteropsis adumbrata
Lineage: Eukaryota; Metazoa; Arthropoda; Arachnida; Araneae; Lycosidae
Description: partial tRNA-Leu
Source: RNAcentral
AUUAGAAUCUAAUUAACUAAAAAUAAUAAUUUUUAUUAAUUUCAUUAU